Molecule: long non-coding RNA, 1054 nt
Organism: Hyla sarda
Lineage: Eukaryota; Metazoa; Chordata; Amphibia; Anura; Hylidae
Exons: 3
Source: RefSeq, a predicted model, not a curated record
UAUGCGUUCACUCUGGUAACCAAAACCAACCAAUCAAAAUCCCCGUCCUUAUGACGGGACGGAAAGACGCGCGCUGCUAUUGGUGCAACCUCCAGCGUGGCGAUUGGCAGAUAGAGUGAAAGUGGGCGUGGUUAGAAGCCGCAGGGAAGUAUUUUUUGUGCAGGGUUACUCCGUAGCCUCACAGCUUCCGGUACACACGGUGUUCGGCUGUUAGUGGCGGGUGCUGGGUGGACGGAGUAGAGGGGCCCCGUAGCCGGUUACAGGUCAGUGUCUAACGGGGGGAAGUCACUUUGUGACCGGGUGGGAGAGCUGCACCGCAGGAAGCGAGAGAGGAGGCGACCUCACUGCAGGGGAGAACAUGGAGGCGCCCCCUGGUGUCUGCCCUCAUCUACUGCACCUCGCGCCGGGCCCACGUGACCUUCCGCAGCCGGCAGAGCCCCGUACAGCUGCGGGUGAUGGGCCUGGGAGUCCUGGAAAGUUCCUGCAACUUUGAAGGUCACAAACUCCCCUGAGAUCACCUUGAUGAAGUUGUGUACAUUCCUGCAGCCGAUAGGAUCCCGAAUUGUAGUCUGUUGCUGUAAACAUCCCCGACUGGAAGCUUUGAGGCUGAAUGGAGCUUUCAGUCCGAUGUUUGCCGCCAUCGGCUACAAGAGUCUCAGUGAGCUUUGGAUUACUCCUCCGACUCCAUUGUCUCCAGAUCCUUGAGCUGCCUCCACAUGUUUUUGGGGUUUUCUGGUCUCCUCCACCCACCCAGGUCUGUCAUGCCAAGAGUCUGUGUAAAGCGUGCCGAGACCCAUCCUCCUGCACACUGCGUCUUGUCUCCAUGAUCUCCAUACUACUCGGUUCAUGUAAACAUCCUACACUCAGCUCUGCUGUGCCAUACGGCUGGGCGUAGGAUGCUUACCUUAACUGAUCUGUGACAUCCAGCGCGGGAUAUCUGGGCGGAAGACGGUGAAACGAAGCAAAAAAUUCCUCAACUGUUUCCCUGGUGAUUGCUCAUCGCUUUAUCAUCUGCUGCCGUUUGUGACUUGUAUGUACUUGUCAAUAAAGUUUC